RNAcentral lists this transfer RNA (72 nucleotides) under Ictidomys tridecemlineatus (thirteen-lined ground squirrel). RNAcentral's name for it is "Spermophilus tridecemlineatus (thirteen-lined ground squirrel) tRNA". It matches the Rfam family "tRNA". Rfam says of the family: Transfer RNA (tRNA) molecules are approximately 80 nucleotides in length. Their secondary structure includes four short double-helical elements and three loops (D, anti-codon, and T loops). Further hydrogen bonds mediate the characteristic L-shaped molecular structure. tRNAs have two regions of fundamental functional importance: the anti-codon, which is responsible for specific mRNA codon recognition, and the 3' end, to which the tRNAs corresponding amino acid is attached (by aminoacyl-tRNA synthetases). tRNAs cope with the degeneracy of the genetic code in two manners: having more than one tRNA (with a specific anti-codon) for a particular amino acid; and 'wobble' base-pairing, i.e. permitting non-standard base-pairing at the 3rd anti-codon position. Lineage: Eukaryota; Metazoa; Chordata; Mammalia; Rodentia; Sciuridae. The record is from Rfam by way of RNAcentral.
AGAGGUGUAGCUCAAUGGUAGAGUGCUUGCCCGGCAUGUAUGAGGCCCUGGGUUCAAUCCCCAGUACCAUAA